AUUGAACGCUGGCGGCAUGCCUUACACAUGCAAGUCGAACGGCAGCACGGGGGCAACCCUGGUGGCGAGUGGCGAACGGGUGAGUAAUACAUCGGAACGUGCCCAGUAGUGGGGGAGUAGCCCGGCGAAAGCCGGAUUAAUACCGCAUGCGACCUACGGGUGAAAGCGGGGGAUCGCAAGACCUCGCGCUGUUGGAGCGGCCGAUGUCAGAUUAGGUUGUUGGUGGGGUAAAGGCCACCAAGCCGACGAUCUGUAGCUGGUCUGAGAGGACGACCAGCCACACUGGGACUGAGACACCGG
RNAcentral lists this ribosomal RNA (300 nucleotides) under uncultured bacterium. Its description in RNAcentral is "bacterial SSU rRNA". It matches the Rfam family "Bacterial small subunit ribosomal RNA", at positions 29 to 330 of the family's 1533-position model. The record is from RNAcentral.